UCCAGACUCCUACGGGAGGCAGCAGUGGGGAAUAUUGCACAAUGGGGGAAACCCUGAUGCAGCGACGCCGCGUGAGUGAAGAAGUAUUUCGGUAUGUAAAGCUCUAUCAGCAGGGAAGAAAUAGCGACCUUUGGGUCGCCAGACGGUACCUGAUUAAGAAGCCCCGGCUAACUACGUGCCAGCAGCCGCGGUAAUACGUAGGGGGCAAGCGUUAUCCGGAUUUACUGGGUGUAAAGGGAGCGUAGACGGCCAUGCAAGCCAGGGGUGAAAGCCCGGGGGCCAACCCCGGGACUGCCCUUGGAACUGGAUGGCUGGAGUGCGGGAGGGGGAGGCGGAAUUCCUGGUGUAGCGGUGAAAUGCGUAGAUAUCAGGAGGAGCACCGGCGGCGAAGGCGGCCUGCUGGACCGCGA
RNAcentral lists this ribosomal RNA (410 nucleotides) under uncultured bacterium. RNAcentral's name for it is "bacterial SSU rRNA". It matches the Rfam family "Bacterial small subunit ribosomal RNA", at positions 330 to 739 of the family's 1533-position model. The record is from RNAcentral.